GCGGGUGUAGCUCAGUUGGUAGAGCAUCAGCCUUCCAAGCUGAGGGUCGCGAGUUCGAGUCUCGUCGCCCGCU
This 73-nucleotide transfer RNA is filed under the name Gemmatimonas sp. It matches the Rfam family "tRNA". From Rfam's summary of the family: Transfer RNA (tRNA) molecules are approximately 80 nucleotides in length. Their secondary structure includes four short double-helical elements and three loops (D, anti-codon, and T loops). RNAcentral also lists the same sequence under 4 other names. Lineage: Bacteria; Pseudomonadati; Gemmatimonadota; Gemmatimonadia; Gemmatimonadales; Gemmatimonadaceae. The record is from Rfam by way of RNAcentral.